AACGUAGGACACAAGCGUUAUCCGGAAUUACUGGGCGUAAAGGGCGUGCAGGCGGUUGCGUAAGUUAGGCGUGAAAGACUUCGGCUAAACCGGGGGAGGUCGUCUGAUACUGCGCAACUAGAGUAUGGUAGAGGCGUGUAGAAUUCUGGGUGUAGUGGUGAAAUGCGUAGAGAUCCGGAGGAAUACCGGUGGCGAAGGCGGCAUCCUGGACCAUUACUGACGCUGAGGCGCGAAAGCUAGGGGAGCAAACGGG
This 253-nucleotide ribosomal RNA is filed under the name uncultured bacterium. RNAcentral describes it as "partial 16S ribosomal RNA". It matches the Rfam family "Bacterial small subunit ribosomal RNA", at positions 524 to 776 of the family's 1533-position model. The record is from RNAcentral.